RNAcentral lists this long non-coding RNA (3239 nucleotides) under Marmota monax (woodchuck). Lineage: Eukaryota; Metazoa; Chordata; Mammalia; Rodentia; Sciuridae. The record is from RNAcentral.
GCACAAAUUUGCAGUCCCACCAGCAGUGUAUGAAUGUACCUUUUUCCUCCACAUCCUCGCCAGCACUUGUUGUUUGUCUUCAUCAUGGCUACCAUUCUUACUGGAGUGAGAUGGUGUUUUAAAGUAGUUUUAAUUUGCAUUUCUCUGAUUGCUAGAGAUGAUGAGUAUUUUUUUGUAUAUUUGUUGAUUGAUUGUAUAUUCUCUUCUGAGAAAUGUCUGUUCAGGUCCUUGGCCCAUUUGUUGAUUGGGUUAUUUGGUUUUUUUUGGUUUAUAGCUUUUUGAGUUCUUUGUAUACCCUAGGGAUUAGAGCUCUAUAUGAUGUGUGAGGGGUAAAAAUUUGUUCCCAGUAUGUAGACUCCCUAUUGACCUCACAUAUUAUUUCUCUUGCUGAGGGGAAAAAAAAAAAAAUUUAGUUUUAAUUCAUCCCAUUUGUUGAUUCUUGGUUUUAAUUCUUGUGCUAUAGAUGUCUUAUUAAGGAAAUUGGGGGCUAACCCCAUGUGAUGGAGAUUAGGGCCUACUUUUUCUUCUAUUAGACUCAGAGUCUCUGGUUUAAUUCCUAGAUCCUUGAUCCAUUUUGAGUUAACUUCAUCACAUCAAUAGAUUUAUAGAUAAGAACCACAUGAUCAUCUCGAUAGAUGCAGAUAAAGCAUUUGACAAAAUACAGCAACCCUUUAUGUUCAAAACACUAGAAAAACUAGGGAUAACAGGAACUUACCUCAACAUUGUAAAAGCUGUCUAUGUUAAGCCUUAGGCCAGUAUCAUUCUAAAUGAAGAAAAACUGAAGGCAUUCCUUCUAAAAUCUGGAAAAAGACAGGGAUGCCCUCUCUACUUCUAUUCAACAUAGUUCUUGAAACACUGGCCAGAGCAAUUAGACAGAUGAAAGAAAUUAAAGGAAUAACUAUAGGGAAAGAAGAACUUAAACUAGCACUAUUUGCUGAUGAUAUAAUUCUAUAACUAGAAGACCCAAAAAUAACUCUACCAAAAAACUUUUAGAACUAGUAAAUGAAUUCAGCAAAGUGGCAGGAUAUAAAAUCAACACCCAUAAAUCAAAGGCAUUCCUGUAUAUCAGUGAUAAAUCCUCUGAAAAGGAAAUGAGGAAAACUACCCCAUUCACAAUAUCCUCAAAAAAUAAAUAAAUAAAUAAAAUACUUGGGAAUCAACAAAAGAAAUGAAAGGUCUAUACAGUGAAAACUAUAGAACCCUAAAGAGAAAAAUAAAAGAAGACCUUAAAAUAUGGAAAGAUCUACCUUGCUUAUGAAUAGGCAGAAUUAAUUUUAUUAAAAUGACCAUAUUACCAAAAGCACUAUACAGAUUCAAUGGAAUUUUGAUCAAAAUCCCAAUGAGAAAUAGAAAAAGCAAUUAUGAAAUUCAUCUGGAAAAAUAAGAGAACCAGAAUAGCUAAAGCAAUUCUAAGCAGGAAAAGUGAAACAGGUGGUAUCACUAUACCAAAUCUUAAACUAUACUACAGAGCAAUAGUAACAAAACAGCAUGGUACUGGCACUAAAACAGGCUGGUGGACCAAUGGUACAGGAUAGAGGACACUGAGACUAACUCACAAAACUACAACUACCUUGUAUUAGACAAAGGUGCUGAAAGCAUGCACUGGAGAAAGGAUGGCACCUUCAACAAAUGGUGCUGGGAAAACUGGAAAUCCAUUUGCAACAAAAUGAAACUGAAUCCCUCUCUCUCACCAUGCACAAAAGUUAACACUGGGUGCUUUUGAAUUUAAUCUUCCAUCUCUAUGUUUCUUAAUUCUAGCAUUAUUUAUUUGUAUUUUCUUUUUUCACAUGUAACUUGCUAGAGGCUUGCCUCUUUUAUUUUUUGUUUUGUUUUGGUACCAGGGAUUAAGCUCAGGGGUACUCAACCAUUGCACCACAUCCCCAGGACUUCUUGUUUUUGUUUGUUUGUUUGUUUGUUUGUUUGUUUUUAUUUUGACACAGGGCCUUGCUAAAUUGCUUAGGUUCUCACUAAAUUGCUUAGUUCCUCACUAAGUUGUUGAGACUGGUUUUGAUUCUGCCUCAGCCUCCUGAGUCACUUAGAUAACAGGUGUGCACCACCAUCCUUGGCCUUACUGGACUUUAAAAGAGCUAUCUCUUUGAUUUCUUAUCAAUUCUAUUGUUUUCUGCUUUCUAAUUUACUUAUGUCUGCUUUUAUCUUUCACUUUCUGUUUCUACUGUCCAUUAUAUUUUGUCUCCAUUUUUUAGUCAAUUUAUCAGUGUUUCUUUUUUAUCCUUCAUUUUUAUUCAGUUACAAAACCAUUUAAACUUUGUCUCCUCUCCUAUAAGUGAUCAUAAAGAAGGAUACACAGAGAGGACACUGUAGCUAGGACAGCAGGCUCAGAAAUAGAGAUCAAUACUGCACUUCUCUGCUGGGCCACUAGCUCUGCCUCUCAGGUGCUAGCUUUUCAGAUGGUGCCAUUAUGUGCAUAAUCUCUUUCCUACUUUGUUUCCUGCUAAAUGUUAACCAGAGAGCCAGAGUGGCUAAGGGCUGCACUCCAUCUUUGGCAGUUAUGGAAAUGAAGGCCCUUCCAACUUUAUUACUUUUUCUGAAGCAGCUUUGUCUCAUUUGCAGGACCCUGGGGCCUAAGUGGCACUUACUGGGAAUUGCAUCUAUCAGCCUGAGAAUGUGACCAUUUAUGUGAUGAUACUGAGUGUUUCUGAUACCCUGGUACAGCAGUCACCCUGCCCUGUCGUGCCCUACCCCAUUCUACCCCAAUUUCCUCAGCCAUCUCUCAUCUCCUCCUGGCUCUGCAGGAUUUAUCAAAGGAGGUCUGUGGUACAGAGCACUAAGAAGAAGUAAGGGAACAUGUGAAUGGAUUUUAUUGAAAUAUUAAGCUGUUGAGGAGAAGGGAAGGAUGUACAGUGUGAAAUACUCUUCAGUCAGACCAGGAUAAAUCUACCUGUGACAUCUCAAAAGGCUCACUCUCAGGGUAUUCUAGGGCUUCCACAGAGAACCUUAAGGAACCCCUGAUUUUAAUCCAUGACUUCUAGUGGAACUCCAUGCAGGACAGUGUCAAUAUCCAUUGGCCUUUUGCAUAUGGUGACCAGCAGAGAGGAAAUACAAAAUUGGAGGAUGGAAGGAGGUGGGUGUCUGCCCGUGCCCAAUUGCACAACUUCACUUUUUUUAUGGAAUGAAGAUCUUCACUUCUAAUCAAUUCCUUACAGGAUCUCAGUCCCUGUGUUCCAUUUCUGAAAUGAUUAGCACUGAUAAAAGUUUAUUGAGCUUUUGCUAUGUGCCAG